GACGAACGCUGGCGGUGUGCUUAACACAUGCAAGUCGAACGAAGUGGCGAACGGGUGAGUAACGCGUAAUCAACCUGCCCUUCAGGGGGGGACAACAGUUGGAAACGACUGCUAAUACCGCAUACUGAAGGAGUGGAUUGCGUCUGAUUUGCUAGUUGGAGGGGUAACGGCCCACCAAGGCGAUGAUCAGUAGCCGGUGUGGAGAGGGGAACGGCCAAAUUGGGACUGGGGCAACGGCCAAAACUCCCAGGGAAGCAGCAGUGGGGGAACAUCCGCAAUGGGCGGAAGUCUGCAGGAGCCACGCCGGGGUGGUGAUGACGGCCUUCGGGUUGUAAAGCUCCGUUAAUCGGGACGCGGUACCGGAAGAGAAAGCCACGGCUAACUACGUGCCAGCAGCCGCGGUAAUAC
Molecule: ribosomal RNA, 408 nt
Filed under: uncultured bacterium
Lineage: Bacteria
Description: partial 16S ribosomal RNA
Rfam family: Bacterial small subunit ribosomal RNA
Source: RNAcentral